GAUCAUGGCUCAGGAUGAACGCUAGUUACAGGCUUAACACAUGCAAGUCGAGGGGCAGCAUGGUCUUAGCUUGCUAAGGCCGAUGGCGACCGGCGCACGGGUGAGUAACACGUAUCCAACCUGCCGUCUACUCUUGGACAGCCUUCUGAAAGGAAGAUUAAUACAAGAUGGCAUCAUGAGUCCGCAUGUUCACAUGAUUAAAGGUAUUUCGGUAGACGAUGGGGA
This 225-nucleotide ribosomal RNA is filed under the name uncultured bacterium. RNAcentral's name for it is "partial 16S ribosomal RNA". It matches the Rfam family "Bacterial small subunit ribosomal RNA", at positions 15 to 231 of the family's 1533-position model. The record is from RNAcentral.